RNAcentral lists this ribosomal RNA (292 nucleotides) under uncultured bacterium. RNAcentral's name for it is "partial 16S ribosomal RNA". It matches the Rfam family "Bacterial small subunit ribosomal RNA", at positions 505 to 796 of the family's 1533-position model. The record is from RNAcentral.
GUGUCAGCAGCCGCGGUAAUACGAAGGGGGCUAGCGUUGUUCGGAUUUACUGGGCGUAAAGCGCACGUAGGCGGAUUGUUAAGUCAGGGGUGAAAUCCCGAGGCUCAACCUCGGAACUGCCUUUGAUACUGGCAAUCUUGAGGCUGGAAGAGGUUGGUAGAAUUCCCAGUGUAGAGGUGAAAUUCGUAGAUAUUGGGAAGAAUACCAGUGGCGAAGGCGGCCAACUGGUCCAGAUCUGACGCUGAGGUGCGAAAGCGUGGGGAGCAAACAGGAUUAGAUACCCGAGUAGUCC